This 371-nucleotide long non-coding RNA is filed under the name Chinchilla lanigera (long-tailed chinchilla). RNAcentral describes it as "lncRNA (ENSCLAG00000023896.1)". The record is from RNAcentral. Lineage: Eukaryota; Metazoa; Chordata; Mammalia; Rodentia; Chinchillidae.
UAGGUACAGCUACUUUUUUGCUGGGAGUCCCUCUUCUCUGGAGCCUAAAUGUACAAGCUAUUGAGUGAGGCAUCGUUAAACUCAUCAUUUGACUGAUUUAAGGCUAGCUUUUGUCUGCUGGAUUGUUAACCAUCUACAGCCAAAGGACAAGGUGAGAUUCAGAAAUGUAAGAAUAGUGAUCUCUUUAAUAUGGUGCCCUGGCAUGGUGAUUAAAGGAGUUUAGAGUACAGCAGAUGUCCAAGAAGCCCUACUCUGACACCUCCUUGGCUGCUGAAGUCUAAAACAGCUGAAGAAAGAAAUAGGCACCUCUAGUCUCUUCCCUGAGAUUUCAUGAGCUCAACUAAUGUUGCAAAAAUAAAAAUCAAAAUGUG